Molecule: small nucleolar RNA, 130 nt
Filed under: Vicugna pacos (alpaca)
Lineage: Eukaryota; Metazoa; Chordata; Mammalia; Artiodactyla; Camelidae
Description: Small nucleolar RNA SNORA20 (ENSVPAG00000015864.1)
Source: RNAcentral
CUUCACAAAUAUUUGAUGAUGUAGUAUUUCAUAGAUAUGAGUAGAUAUAUGCACAGGAUGAAACAAUGUUGAGCCACUGUAAAUUCAGAUGGAGUCACCAUUUCAUCUCUUCUGCAUGGUGUAGACAUUG